UUAGAAUAAGUUGAGAAGUUUGGAAAAACAUGUGAAUUUUCGUGUCAAGUUUCGGGACGAAACUUCUUUUAAGAGGGGUAGAUUGUAAUCCCCCGUAAUUUUAUACAUUUUAUUCAUAUAUUUUAACGAAUAUUUAAUAUAUUUAAUAUAUAUUUAAACAUAAAUUACGGAUUUUAGAAACGAAUAUGUAAUUGAAAUGUAAUUAUUUUAUUUCAUUUGGAAUACUUUUAAUGAUUUACGAAAUCAAAAUGUAUUUUUGAAUUUUACGUUAAAACGAAUUCGAAUUUCGAAAUCACGUUUGAUUGAAAUUACCGAGCAAUCCUAACCAUUUUGGAUUCAAUAACCAAUCCUACUCCUAGCCCAAUUGGGUAAAGCCCAAACCACUAAAACCCAAAACAAAUACUCCCUCCCCUUUGUUAUUCACGUGAACCCCAAAAAGAAACCAAAGAAAAAAAAAAAGAAAACCCUCCCCUUCUCUCUACUCUUCACGUGAAAACCAAAAGAAAGGAAACCAAAACCCUCUUUCACUAUUCACGUACAUUGCAAACCUUCAAGAACUCUCUCUCCUUCCUUCACGCCGUGGCACUUCCUCUGCCGCCGACCCACUGCCGCCGCCGGACCGCCGCCACCGCAAAGCACCACCGUGUGCCGCCGUGCUCAGCCCUGCCGCAAGCCACCUCUGUCCGCCAGCCGUUGCUCUCUCUCUCCUCCUUCUUGAAUUGGCGGAGAAUUCUCUUUAGGCGACUUUUGAAAGUGUUAAAGUGGCCUAUCAGUUUGUUUACACAAGGUACGUACAUACCUGUGUGCUUGGAAUGUGUGCUAAUUGUUGAAACCAUGUUGAAUUGUUGAUGAACUUGGUUAUGUUAAUGUUGUUGAUGAACUUAGUCAGGUUGAAAUUGCAUGUUUGAUACUGUUGGAUGAACAUAUUAAACUUAUAUUGCAUUUUGAGGAUUAUAACAUGUUAGUAUGGAAGAUUGAUGCAAACAUGUUUG
Spinacia oleracea (spinach) is the source of this 992-nucleotide long non-coding RNA. RefSeq lists it as uncharacterized. NCBI's taxonomy places the organism in Eukaryota, Viridiplantae, Streptophyta, Magnoliopsida, Caryophyllales, Amaranthaceae. The transcript has 3 exons. The record is from RefSeq and is a predicted model, not a curated record.